Molecule: transfer RNA, 74 nt
Filed under: Candidatus Omnitrophota bacterium
Lineage: Bacteria; Pseudomonadati; Candidatus Omnitrophota
Also listed under: 1 other name
Description: tRNA-Gly
Rfam family: tRNA
About the family: Transfer RNA (tRNA) molecules are approximately 80 nucleotides in length. Their secondary structure includes four short double-helical elements and three loops (D, anti-codon, and T loops). Further hydrogen bonds mediate the characteristic L-shaped molecular structure. tRNAs have two regions of fundamental functional importance: the anti-codon, which is responsible for specific mRNA codon recognition, and the 3' end, to which the tRNAs corresponding amino acid is attached (by aminoacyl-tRNA synthetases). tRNAs cope with the degeneracy of the genetic code in two manners: having more than one tRNA (with a specific anti-codon) for a particular amino acid; and 'wobble' base-pairing, i.e. permitting non-standard base-pairing at the 3rd anti-codon position.
Source: RNAcentral
GCGGGCGUAGUUCAGUGGUAGAACACAAGCCUUCCAAGCUUGAUACGUGAGUUCGAUUCUCAUCGCCCGCUCCA